Molecule: ribosomal RNA, 567 nt
Filed under: uncultured Chlorophyta
Lineage: Eukaryota; Viridiplantae; Chlorophyta
Description: bacterial SSU rRNA
Rfam family: Bacterial small subunit ribosomal RNA
Source: RNAcentral
AGUGGCGGACGGGUGAGUAACACGUAAGAAUCUACCUUUUGGAGAGGGAUAAUCCUUGGAAACGUUGACUAAUACCUCAUAAUACUGAGAAGUUAAAGAAUAAAUAAUCGCCAAAAGAUGAGCUUGCGGCUGAUUAGCUAGUUGGUGAGAUAAUGGCUUACCAAGGCUAUGAUCAGUAGCUGGUCUGAGAGGAUGAUCAGCCACACUGGGACUGAGACACGGCCCAGACUCCUACGGGAGGCAGCAGUGAGGAAUUUUCCGCAAUGAGCGAAAGCUUGACGGAGCAAUACCGCGUGAAGGAUUAAGGCCUAUGGGUUGUAAACUUCUUUUCUCAGAGAAGAAUUUUGACGGUAUCUGAGGAAUAAGCAUCGGCUAACUCUGUGCCAGCAGCCGCGGUAAGACAGAGGAUGCAAGCGUUAUCCGGAAUGAUUGGGCGUAAAGCGUCUGUAGGUGGUUUGACAAGUCUUUUGUUAAAGAUCAAGGCUUAACCUUGAAUCGGCAAAAGAUACUAUGAGACUAGAGUUCGGUAGGGGCAGAGGGAAUUUCCAGUGAAGCGGUGAAAUGCGU